AGUGAACGCUGGCGGUAGGCCUAACACAUGCAAGUCGAACGGCAGCACAGUAAGAGCUUGCUCUUACGGGUGGCGAGUGGCGGACGGGUGAGGAAUACAUCGGAAUCUACUUUUUCGUGGGGGAUAACGUAGGGAAACUUACGCUAAUACCGCAUACGACCUACGGGUGAAAGCAGGGGAUCUUCGGACCUUGCGCGAUUGAAUGAGCCGAUGUUGGAUUAGCUAGUUGGCGGGGUAAAGGCCCACCAAGGCGACGAUCCGUAGCUGGUGUGAGAGGAUGAUCGGCCACACUGGAACUGAGACACGGACCAUGCUCCUACGGGAGGCAGCAGUGGGGAAUGUUGGACAAUGGGCGCAAGCCUGGUCCAGCCAUACCGCGUGGGUGAAGAAGGCCUUCGGGUUGUAAAGCCCUUUUGUUGGGAAAGAAAAGCAGCAGGUUAAUACCCCGCUGUUCUGACGGUACCCAAAGAAUAAGCACCGGCUAACUUCGUG
Molecule: ribosomal RNA, 492 nt
Filed under: uncultured bacterium
Lineage: Bacteria
Description: partial 16S ribosomal RNA
Rfam family: Bacterial small subunit ribosomal RNA
Source: RNAcentral